ACUUAAAUAGUUUAAAUAAAAUGUUAGCUUGUGGCGCUUAAGAUGUAAAAAUUUACUUUAA
This 61-nucleotide transfer RNA is filed under the name Chasmagnathus convexus. Its description in RNAcentral is "tRNA-His". The record is from RNAcentral. Lineage: Eukaryota; Metazoa; Arthropoda; Malacostraca; Decapoda; Varunidae.